UACAAUUAAGUAUAUGAUGUACAUAAGUUUUUGAAACUUGGGGCGAAAGUUAAAUUCUUUCAUUUGUAA
Molecule: transfer RNA, 69 nt
Filed under: Ernobius pini
Lineage: Eukaryota; Metazoa; Arthropoda; Insecta; Coleoptera; Ptinidae
Description: tRNA-Gln
Rfam family: tRNA
About the family: Transfer RNA (tRNA) molecules are approximately 80 nucleotides in length. Their secondary structure includes four short double-helical elements and three loops (D, anti-codon, and T loops).
Source: RNAcentral